GAUGAACGCUGGCGGCGUGCCUAAUACAUGCAAGUCGAGCGAACAGACGAGGAGCUUGCUCCUUUGACGUUAUCGGCGGACGGGUGAGUAACACGUAGGUAACCUACCUAUCAGACUGGGAUAACUUCGGGAAACCGGAUCUAAUACCGGAUAAUAUUUCGAACCGCAUUGUUCGAUAGUUAAAGAUGGCUUUUCUAACACUAAUAGAUGGACCUGCGCCGGAUUAGCUAGUUGGUAAGGUAACGGCUUACCAAGGCAACGAUACGUAGCCGACCUGAGGGGGAGGACGCCCACCUGGGAACUGAGAAACGGUCCCGACUCCUACGGGAGGCAGCAGUCGGGAAUCUUACGCGAUGGGCGAAAGCCUGACAGAGCAAAGCCGCGUGAGUGAUGAAGGACUUCGGAUCGGAGAACGCUGUUAUUAGGGAAGAACAAACGUGUAAGUAACUGUGCACGUCUUGACGGUACCUAAACAGAAAGCCACGGCUAACUACGUG
RNAcentral lists this ribosomal RNA (497 nucleotides) under uncultured bacterium. Its description in RNAcentral is "partial 16S ribosomal RNA". It matches the Rfam family "Bacterial small subunit ribosomal RNA", at positions 28 to 507 of the family's 1533-position model. The record is from RNAcentral.